GAUGAACGCUGGCGGCGUGCCUAAUACAUGCAAGUCGAGCGAACAGACGAGGAGCUUGCUCCUCUGACGUUAGCGGCGGACGGGUGAGUAACACGUGGAUAACCUACCUAUAUGACUGGGAUAACUUCGGGAAACCGGAGCUAAUACCGGAUAAUAUAAUGAACCGCAUGGUUCAAUAGUGAAAGACGGUUUUGCUGUCACUUAUAGAUGGAUCCGCGCCGCAUUAGCUAGUUGGUAAGGUAACGGCUUACCAAGGCAACGAUGCGUAGCCGACCUGAGAGGGUGAUCGGCCACACUGGAACUGAGACACGGUCCAGACUCCUACGGGAGGCAGCAGUAGGGAAUCUUCCGCAAUGGGCGAAAGCCUGACGGAGCAACGCCGCGUGAGUGAUGAAGGUCUUCGGAUCGUAAAACUCUGUUAUUAGGGAAGAACAAAUGUGUAAGUAACUAUGCACGUCUUGACGGUACCUAAUCAGAAAGCCACGGCUAACUACGUG
This 497-nucleotide ribosomal RNA is filed under the name uncultured bacterium. RNAcentral's name for it is "partial 16S ribosomal RNA". It matches the Rfam family "Bacterial small subunit ribosomal RNA", at positions 28 to 507 of the family's 1533-position model. The record is from RNAcentral.